CCUGUCACUCACACAUGCGAACGAAUGCAUGUGUACGCGUUUCUCCCACUCUCUCUUAUGCGAUUACAAAGCCGACUACUCCCCAACUGAAAUUACAUCGUCCCGUAUACAUGCUACGACUUACAAACAUGCACGUAAGUCGCGUGUGGUGUCGUGACACGCAUGCUCGCGCCUGGAUUUCUGCGAGCACAAGCGGUGACUCUCCGGAGACGCCUAUGACCUGUACAAUUAAGAGGUCCCACGGGGUCACAGCCAAUUAUCCGACAUUACAGAGAGAAGGAGAGCAAAUGGGAGAAGGCACCCCCGCUGUGUGCUCGUCAGCACUUUUCAUUGUUGGCUCAAUUCGCCACUAAAGGCGGGAAACGUGAGCCGAUUCUUUAACGACUUCUCGUCAACGGACGCUACCUGCUGUCACGUGGUCUACCUGUGUGUCGGGUGAAUCCCCGGAAUGUGGGUCCGACGCGGCAAGGGAAAAACGCUCGCCUUGCCAGCGCGUAGUCAGUUGAUGUCAUGUGUGCGUAAUAUUUUCCCAGUCGUAGCUGAGUCAAUAUUUGUAUUAACUAAUGAUUGUUUCGAUAACGAUCGUAAAGAUGUCGAAUUACUAAUGAUAAUGAUCACAAAACAUCGAACGCUUCGAUCCGCUUUGGAUUCUCUUCGGUGAUAAAUUAAGCGAAUUAAGAGAAUAAACAUCAGUGGAAUCAAUAUAUUUUAAAGAGAACCCCCAUUAUAACUAAUUUAAUUGUGCUUUUUUUAGGAAAAGAAAACAGAAAAUUCGGGAGAGCUCUAGGGAAUUUUGGAAAAUGAACGUGAUCCAGCAUCAUUCAGUAGCAUCAUGUUGCUCAAGUUUAAAUAAUAAGCGAAACUGUUAAUAAUCAUUAACUCUCACCGAUCCGGUGACUAGUUGCCAAUUAACGGUGAGAGUUUACUCUUUUAAUAGAUUUAAUCUCCAGGUUCUGAGACUCUGUUUGGGUUUAACAACCAUCUUUUGCCUCAUACAGGAAGCGUCGCUUGAAUCAUAGUAAUUAAUAUUGUAUGUCCCAUCGCCGUGGGAAAAAUCGCACUGCGUCACGCAAUGACGUUUCCAAUCCACAUCGGCGGUAAUAUUUUCGUCGAAGGCCGUUCCGACGCGAUGUUCCUCGCGCUUCGCGAUAGAGAAGUGUGUCGCGACCGAAAUAGCGUGGGUGUCGCGAGUGCUCCGAGCGUGAUGCAAGCGCGUGAAGGCGCGCGGAAAAAUACGACGCGCGUGUUCCCGAAAUCUCUGAAAUUCCCAGGCUGUACGACGAAGUUGCCUCUUGCCCCAUCGCAGAGCACACCGGCCGACUAGAUUCCAGCGAGAUGAUAGUGCUCGCCCUCGAAGCCGCUAAUCACAUGCGACUAUCGCAGCGGCUGUGGCCGCGCGAUUAGACGAGCGACUGACCCGCAGCACGCUACGCCAAUGUACAAACGCGAUUUCAAAUGUUAUAGGGAAUUUCGACAGUGCAGUCUGCACGAGGGGGUGUCAUCGAUACGCGAACACGUUCGAGGAGAGACUCGCGUUCACUUGGAGAGACAGGUUCAACGGCACCGGAGCGCAUCCGGGCAAACCGCCAGCUCGCGCUCGCGCGAUUUCAAUUUCAAUUUCCCGCAUUCGGCGAUACGAAUUAGAAAAAUAUUUUUAUUGCCGCACGCGCGGCAGAUUCUCCCGCUCGUAAAUCUGCGCGUCCCUCGUAAAUCUCCGCGACUGUAGUAAACACCGUUUAGCGAGCACAUGGAGGCACAUGGGCGCGCUCAAUGCCGUGUGUGCAGCACAUAUACGGUGAAAACCGUGUCGCUUAUAAGCCGCUCGCAUAGAAGCAAGGAGAACUGGGACCGCGAUGCAUUUUUCAUUGGGACUUUUUAUAUCCCCGAGCGGUGAGAAACGAUUAAAAAUUACCGAGGGUUCUUCGUUACACUAAUGGAAAAUAUCUGUAUGUGUUGAGUCUCCCCAAGGGACUCGACCAAUCGGAGUCCCGCGCGGCGACCACUCGCUUCACUUUGAUGUGAAGAUAACGCGCGCAC
RNAcentral lists this long non-coding RNA (2037 nucleotides) under Ooceraea biroi (clonal raider ant). RNAcentral's name for it is "uncharacterized LOC105281137". The record is from RNAcentral. Lineage: Eukaryota; Metazoa; Arthropoda; Insecta; Hymenoptera; Formicidae.